CCUACGGGAGGCAGCAGUGAGGAAUAUUGGUCAAUGGCCGGAAGGCUGAACCAGCCAUGCCGCGUGAAGGUCAGUGCCCUAUGGGCGUUAAACUUCUUUUGUGCGGGAGCAAUAAUGGUCACGUGUGGCCAGACGAGAGUACCGUACGAAUAAGCAUCGACUAAAUCCGUGCCAGCAGCCGCGGUGAUACGGGGGAUGCAAGCGUUAUCCGGAUUUAAUGGGGUUAAAGGGUGCGUAGGCUGUGAGGUAAGUCAGCGGUGAAAUGCCCCCGCUCAACGGGGUGAAGUGCCAUUGAUACUGGCUUGCUGGAGUGCGGAUGACGUAGGAGGAAUGUGUGGUGUAGCGGUGAAAUGCAUAGAGAUCACGCAGAACACCGAUUGCGAAGGCAGCUCACGAAUCCGCGAUUGACGCUGAUGCACGAAAGCGUGGGUAUCAAACAGGAUUAGAUACCCCUGUAGUC
RNAcentral lists this ribosomal RNA (460 nucleotides) under uncultured bacterium. RNAcentral describes it as "partial 16S ribosomal RNA". It matches the Rfam family "Bacterial small subunit ribosomal RNA", at positions 338 to 795 of the family's 1533-position model. The record is from RNAcentral.